ACGCUCGACACCUCGGGGGCAGCAGUGGGGAAUAUUGCACAAUGGGGGAAACCCUGAUGCAGCGACGCCGCGUGAGUGAAGAAGUAUUUCGGUAUGUAAAGCUCUAUCAGCAGGGAAGAAGAUGACGGUACCUGAGUAAGAAGCCCCGGCUAACUACGUGCCAGCAGCCGCGGUAAUCUGAGCGGGCUGGCAAGGC
Molecule: ribosomal RNA, 196 nt
Filed under: uncultured bacterium
Lineage: Bacteria
Description: partial 16S ribosomal RNA
Rfam family: Bacterial small subunit ribosomal RNA
Source: RNAcentral